Molecule: long non-coding RNA, 3539 nt
Filed under: Homo sapiens (human)
Lineage: Eukaryota; Metazoa; Chordata; Mammalia; Primates; Hominidae
Description: HSALNT0181568
Source: RNAcentral
UUCUAUUUCCACACUUUGAAUGCGAGACCAAUUUGGUGACAGCCUCUCGUGCCAUUAACGAAAUAGAAACAUAUGCACAUGCAGCGAUAAAACAGAUCUGAAACAACAUCCCUGCCACCUGUUGGGUGGCAGCUGAAAUCAGACAUCUUAAUGUAUGAUAUUAUGGGAAUUACCCACAUUAAGAUAAAAUAUCUGGAUUUAAGUAACUGUCUUUUGCUCUGAAUUAACUUGAAGGUUGAACUCAGAAAACAAAGGCAAACGACUUGGGGCUAAGCAACUUACUCCACAGCCAUCGUGCCCGGCUGCCGCUCUGGUGGGGGCACUAUGUAGAAAUGUUGGUGGCAGUUUUCACUUCUCCUAAUUGACAGCAGAAGAUCUAGCUGUGCUCCAGCAUUCUGGACAUGAAGGGAAAUGAGAAGGCUAGCCUGUACCCAAGAUGUGAGCUUCUAAAAGAAACAGGAACUAGGGUCUGCUUCAUUCCUGAGUCUUCAGCACUUAGCAGAGUCCCUGAUAUAUAGCGGAUCUUUACAAGUAUUUGUUGAGUGAAAGAAGAGGUAUGAUAUUUACUGAAUACAUGCCAUGUUCCAAACAUUCAGAAAGGAGUUGUAAUCGAUAAAGAAGACACCUGUCUACAAGAAGCUUACAGUCUACUGGCCAGAGAUGAGAUGUGUCCACAGAUAACCAUGCUGCAAGUUAAGUAAAGAAGAAUCUGUAAGAGUGCUAUGCCACUGUGACCUGUUCUUUGAAAAAGCUUGAAAUGAAAUCACAAAGCAACUUUCUUGAUUUCCCACUAUUUACAUUUACUUAAGGAGGAAAGUUCUACUAACCCCAAAUAUGUACAUGGAAAGAUCCAUGACCUUUAGGAAUAUUUUGGGGGAAAUAAAAUGUUCAAUGAUACCUGAAAUCAUAUCUAGAUUGAACUCAUAUUUAGAAUGCCUGAUCCCAUGUAAUGGUCAAAGCUUCCAACUUCAUACAAAGUUAUAGCUGGUUUCUCUCUCCCCAGCCAGUGCCUGCAACAGGGCAGGGGUUGAAUGGUCAGCUUGUAUCGGCAGAGGUCCCAUUGUUCCUGCAUGCGGCCCAGUGGGCAGGGCCUAACUUUGUACCAUCCCAGCUCUCUUGCUUGCAAAGCCCAUAUGAAAACCCUAGGAAACACUUAGGCAUCUUUGCCUGAGCAGAUACUGGGAGAGCAACUCACCCAUGUGCCACCUCCUCUGCUUUCCUCCCUUCUGUCACCCAGAUUUUACAGGUGAAGGUCACAUGUCAGGCACUCAUUCUCCCACACUACAGGGGACAUACACUCUGCUGUCUGAGUGGUCCCAUUGAAGACCCCCUAGCAGACUGGAGAUAAGGUACAGUUACACCUGCCUCUCCCCUUAGGGAGGUGGAACUCACAGCUCACCUGUCUCUAAAGAAGCCCUCUUCACAAAUACCUUCCUGUCAACCUCCCACACACUUAUUUUUUUAAUACCCUUGACAAGAGUGAGGGUUUUGAGCUGUGAAACCAGUUUCUGGAUAUUUCCUUUGAAAUUUCCAUCCCAGUCUGGCUCCUUGCUGGAGCAGCCAAUAUUCUGCCAUUUCAGGUGCUGAGCCCUGGCCUGGGAGGUGCCAGCAGGGAGAGGCCAAUUCCAGCAGAGGAGAGUCCAGGCAUGUGGGGAUAUGGUGGUGUUCUCCAUGGAGGGAGAAACAGGGCAUUAAUAAAACAGUGCCAGGAAUAACCCUGUGAUUGAUGGGUAAAGGUCAUGGACUCUGGGAUACUGGCAGGCACUGAUGGGAACCUGUUAGGGCUGGACCGGGACCAUCUCUGGCUUCCUGCUUCCCUCAGGUACCAGGAUGCUCUGCUAUGGUCUCUGGCAAAACUGAGCACUGGGGCUGGGCACAUAAUUUUGCCUGGGACAACUGCUGUAGGGGCUUCAGAAUGCCUGGUUUUCUAAAUUUUAUUGGUGUCAGGAGAGAGCUUUGAUAAGCUUUAAUGUGCUAUUAAUUAUUUGGGCUGUUAAAAAAGGGAGUGCAUGAGAGGCUUGGAGUUGAAUGAUCUCAUUUCUGAGGUUCUGAGGAGGUACACACAUACACCCCAGUGGAAGCCAACUCAGGAUCCAGCUGCUCACGGAGUUCCUCCCUCUGCUCAGACACCAAGAGUGCUGCUGCCUGAGACUGAGCAGAGUAGGGAACUGGGGAGGAUCUCCACUGCUUUAAACUUAAAUGUAACUUGGGCAAUUUGGACUUUCUUUGGGCUUUAAUUCGCAAGGGCUAAAUACUUUGAUUUUGGACUUUAAUCUCUUUGGGAUUUUAAUCUCUAAAUUUUUCCCUAGGAAUUUGAUAAUGGGAAGGGUUUAUAUCCAAAUUUGGGACAUCUUAUUUUCCCAUUUAUUAUUGAAGAAAUCUUUAUGCAUUUUUUAUUAGCUCUUUAUGCAUUUUAUUAUUGAAGUAUCUUCACUCUGCUAUUAAACCUCAUUACAGAACCUCUGAUGAGGUUAGUGGUCCAUGUGGCUGGACAUCAAUUUGGAUUGGAAAUAGAACAGGCUCUGAACUUGCAGUCUUAGACACAACAUAGCCUUGGACUGGAUUUUAUUAACACACUGUUCUGGCUCAUCUCAGAGGCUUAUGGAAGUGAAAUCAACAGUGUCUUAGGAUGGUCCCAGGAAGGCACAGGAAGGAACAGAAGUUGAUGCUGGGGGAGCGACCUCCUGCUCAGAUAGUUAGCUCAUCCCCUCCUGGAGCCAGAUGACCACAUACCUGGUUGUCCAGGGGUUAAACAUUAAGCCCAGCUGGUUAAGAUAACAAAAAUCUGGGGAAUUUUUAUCCCCUUCCUUCUCUAGUUUUCAUAUAGAGGGACUUCCCUGACCCCACACACUUGGCCCCUCUCUACUCCCUUUUUGACCCAGCUAGGAGUGAUUUGUCACUUGAGUUUAUGUAUGACUCACUCUCUUCCCCUCCCUCUCCCUCUCUUUUGGUAUAUGCCUGCCCUGGGAGAACACACAAGCUCUGCUGUCAGCCAUGUGGAAUGAAGCAUGCCGGGCCUCAUCUCGGACCUGCACACUGCCCCUCAUUAUGUUCAUGAUCGGGAAAUGGAUAAAGAGUGGCCAGAAGGUGAAAAAGAAGAGAUGGCCCCCUGAAAGGGACAUCCACAUUUAUUUGAGCACCUACCAGGAUACCUGCUUUGGGAGCCUUCUGCUGCUGCGUGAGAUCCCUGGCUACCCUGGAGAGACAUCAGACAACAAGUGAGAUGCCCAAGAGCCCUAGCUGUCUUUGUCUUUGCAGCCCAAGCUCCAGACAUGUACUGAAGAAGCUUUAAGGAUAAAUUCAGUCCCAACUACUCCCUGGCUACAACUAUGAGACAGACCCUCCCAAGUCAGAACUGCCUAGCCAAGCUCAGGCAACUCCAAGAUUUAAGAGCAAAAUAAAAGAUAGUUAUUGCUUUAAGCUACUGUUUGGGUGGUUUGUUAUGCAGUAGUAGAUAGUCAGAACAUAACACUUACUUUACAAUAGUUGUAAAGUAAGGAAUGAGGAAUCAUUUCAAUGAGGAAUCACUGAAAAUGUAG